CUUUCUGCUCUGCUGUGCUGAGGCUUAAAUAGCACCCUGCAGUGGGGAUAGGUACCGUCAGGUUCCUUCUUAGGAAGUUAUUGAUUAUGCUGAUCCUAGAUGGCCAAGUAUUGGCAACUUUGUAGAGUUCAAACUGAUAAUAAAAACCAUGUUAAAAAUCGCCACUGCUUUAGACAUGAGCAAUUCCCCCUCCUAUCUUAGCCUUUCUACAAUUUGUCUUUGACCUGGCAACUAACAUUGUUUUUAUUAUUCCUUCCUUUAGAUUUUCCUUGAAAGGAAGGUGGUAUGUAUGUAUGUAUGGGGCCUGGCAUGAGGCAAGAUUGGAAUUCACAAUUCAGUUAAAGAAAAUAGGCAAAUGACAACGUUAGGAAAUGAUUUGAAAGGAAGAGCUCUACACCCCUGCCACAAAACUAAACAGGUAAAAUGGCCUCCUCUGGCUUCUCUGAGUCUUCUUGUG
This 457-nucleotide long non-coding RNA is filed under the name Homo sapiens (human). RNAcentral describes it as "non-protein coding lnc-TMEM200A-1:1". Lineage: Eukaryota; Metazoa; Chordata; Mammalia; Primates; Hominidae. The record is from RNAcentral.